CUGAUUUAUAUUUUGUUUGAAAGAUGUUUAAACAUUCAGUUAUAGAUUUUAUUGAGUUAAAUCCAAACAAAAGAAAGAAAUAUCGUCUAGCUAUAGACAGUCAUUGUUCAUACAACCCCCAGUCAGCAGGACUGGUAGAAAAGAAUGAACCGACCUGUUAAAAGCAAUUUGAGAAUCUUAGAGUGAAAUUAGUGAUAUUAAGCAUGAAUGUUGUUAUCACUGUUUGAAAUGAUGUAUGGAAGAAUCUACACUGCCUCAGCACUCAAACCAUUUGCUGAAACAGACUAAGAGAUUGAAUAUACAUUUGCAGAAUAUAUGGCAAAAAUGUGAAUUAGCAAAAUGCUCUCAGAACUCUCUGUGCUCCGCAGGAACCUGUGAAGCUGAAACCAAGGUUGGGCCAGGAGAUUGGGUCCUAAUCAACAGCCUCCAAAGAAAACACUGCCACUUGCCCAAGUGGGACAGACCCUACAAAGUGCUACUGUCAACAUUUACCACAGUCAAAAUAGCGGAGAGAGCCACCUGGAUACAUCUAACACAUUGUAAACGAGUAAGCCUUCUUUAGAAAGAGACAGAGGAUAGGAGCUGUCUUCCUCUACAGUUUUCCAAGGCCGGGCCACUGUGACAGAAGUCCAGCUACAAAGGGGAUUCUUUGCGUUAGGCAAUUUUUCGUCUCAAACCUGGUGAAGAAAACUACACUGUCCAGGCACCGGUCUUGGUCAAAUGUCCGCGAUGGGGCCUACCUAAAGAUCAUCCGUGGUGAUGGGAAAACCAGACUGCCCAAACACACUUUCCACAAAGAGACUGUUUACAUUUUCCUGCCCAGUAAUAUUCAACAGCCGAUGUGAUCUGCAGAAUGCCUGAUGGGGAACAGGGCCUUCAAGGACACAGCAAAGAGGCCUUGUUUGAAUGUUAUCUGAAGCCUAGGUGAGCUAAUGACACACACACACACACACACACAUACACACACACACACACACACACACUCACACUCGACACCCACUAUGUUGGCCUACAAAUGCAAAUUAUACAAAUGUGUGAUGUGAAAUAUGAUGAUUGACUUAUGAUGAGAUGAAAUAAUGCUCAGUAAUGAUCUCUGUUCCGAAAAUCCAUGUGAUGAAGCUCAGAGUGAUGAUUUUGAGGUUAUCCAUUGAAAUUGAUAAUUGACGAAUUAAGAAAAGAUGAUUUGUGAUUUUGAUGGUGAUUUUGAAUUAUCCAUUGAAACGGAUAAAAGGAGGGACUGAUGGAGAUAAUUUCCAAACACUGUUAAUGACUUAAGAAUAUAAUAAUCAAGUGCUUUGUAUUAAUAUAUUCCUUGUAUGAAUCAUGUGCUUAUGAAAGCAGGAACAUGGCUUUUCUGCAUGUGUGUAACUUAGAAUAUUAAGUGCCACUUAGUCUGCAUAUGUACAAGAGCAUGUUUAGACCAGAAGUGAUAAGAAGGGUCGAACUGUGCUUCUUCCGACCUUGCAAAACUUCCAUCCUUGCCUCGGACAUCAGAAAUCCACCACGUGGUUUUCCCUGCUGAACGCUCAACUUCUGUCUAUAUAAACCUUGUGCGAUGUGUUUAUCAUUGCUUCACUUUCAGCCUUGUGCUGGGAGUGAGCCCGAUUGCAAUUGUUGUUUGUCUAAUAAAUAUACUUAUAUGCAGCUCCGGAGUCCUGAGGUAACUAGGGUGAAUUUUCACCUAUCAAUGUUGAUGAAGGAGAAGAUGAUGUUGAUGAAGGAGAAGAGGGAACCUCCAGCUCUGAGUGGCAGGCA
Long non-coding RNA from Clupea harengus (Atlantic herring), 1755 nucleotides. The record is from Ensembl. NCBI's taxonomy places the organism in Eukaryota, Metazoa, Chordata, Actinopteri, Clupeiformes, Clupeidae.